This 1402-nucleotide ribosomal RNA is filed under the name Legionella pneumophila. RNAcentral's name for it is "partial 23S ribosomal RNA". It matches the Rfam family "Bacterial large subunit ribosomal RNA", at positions 1542 to 2925 of the family's 2925-position model. Lineage: Bacteria; Pseudomonadati; Pseudomonadota; Gammaproteobacteria; Legionellales; Legionellaceae. The record is from RNAcentral.
GGUUUUCCAUAACUCUGAGGUGCGAAGUGGUUCUGACCUUUUGGUACAGAGAAGUCAUUGAUGCCCGGCUUCCAGGAAAAGCUGCUAGCCAUAACUUAUAGAGAACCGUACCGCAAACCGACACAGGUGGACAGGUAGAGAAUACUAAGGCGCUUGAGAGAACUCGGGUGAAGGAACUAGGCAAAAUGGUACCGUAACUUCGGGAGAAGGUACGCCCUUUUGGGUGAGGGCAUUUACUGUCUGAGCUUAAGAGGGCCGCAGAGACCAGGUGGCUGCGACUGUUUAUUAAAAACACAGCACUCUGCAAAUUCGUAAGAAGACGUAUAGGGUGUGACGCCUGCCCGGUGCCGGAAGGUUAAUUGAUGGGGUUAUCUUCGGAGAAGCUCUUGAUCGAAGCCCCGGUAAACGGCGGCCGUAACUAUAACGGUCCUAAGGUAGCGAAAUUCCUUGUCGGGUAAGUUCCGACCUGCACGAAUGGCGUAACGAUGGCCACACUGUCUCCACCCGAGACUCAGUGAAAUUGAAAUCGCUGUGAAGAUGCAGUGUACCCGCGGCUAGACGGAAAGACCCCGUGAACCUUUACUAUAGUUUUGCACUGGACUUUGAUGAUGACUGUGUAGGAUAGGUGGGAGGCUGUGAAGUGAGGACGCUAGUUCUCAUGGAGCCGCCCUUGAAAUACCACCCUGUUGUUAUUGAGGUUCUAACUUGGUCCAGUAAUCCUGGAUGAGGACAGUGUAUGAUGGGUAGUUUGACUGGGGCGGUCUCCUCCCAAAGAGUAACGGAGGAGCACAAAGGUACCCUCGGUACGGUCGGACAUCGUACCAAGAGUGUAAAGGCAAAAGGGUGCUUGACUGCGAGAGUGACGGCUCGAGCAGGAACGAAAGUUGGUCUUAGUGAUCCGGUGGUUCUGAAUGGAAGGGCCAUCGCUCAACGGAUAAAAGGUACUCCGGGGAUAACAGGCUGAUACCGCCCAAGAGUUCAUAUCGACGGCGGUGUUUGGCACCUCGAUGUCGGCUCAUCACAUCCUGGGGCUGAAGCAGGUCCCAAGGGUAUGGCUGUUCGCCAUUUAAAGUGGUACGCGAGCUGGGUUUAGAACGUCGUGAGACAGUUCGGUCCCUAUCUGCCGUGGGCGUAGGAAAAUUGAGAGGAGCUGCUCCUAGUACGAGAGGACCGGAGUGGACGAACCUCUGGUGCACCGGUUGUCACGCCAGUGGCAUGGCCGGGUAGCUAAGUUCGGACGGGAUAACCGCUGAAAGCAUCUAAGCGGGAAGCCUCCCUCAAGAUGAGUUUUCCCAUGAAGCCCGUUGAAGACUACGACGUUGAUAGGCAAGGUGUGGAAGCGCAGUAAUGCGUGAAGCUAACUUGUACUAAUUGGCUGAUUGUCUUGACCAUAUAAUCUGAG